Molecule: ribosomal RNA, 465 nt
Filed under: uncultured bacterium
Lineage: Bacteria
Description: partial 16S ribosomal RNA
Rfam family: Bacterial small subunit ribosomal RNA
Source: RNAcentral
GAUGAACGCUGGCGGCGUGCUUAACACAUGCAAGUCGAACGGAAAGGCCCAAGCUUGCUUGGGUACUCGAGUGGCGAACGGGUGAGUAACACGUGGGUGAUCUGCCCUGCACUUCGGGAUAAGCCUGGGAAACUGGGUCUAAUACCGGAUAGGACCACAUUUUGGAUGGUGUGGUGGAAAGUUUUUCGGUGUGGGAUGAGCUCGCGGCCUAUCAGCUUGUUGGUGGGGUAAUGGCCUACCAAGGCGUCGACGGGUAGCCGGCCUGAGAGGGUGUACGGCCACAUUGGGACUGAGAUACGGCCCAGACUCCUACGGGAGGCGGCAGUGGGGAAUAUUGCACAAUGGGCGCAAGCCUGAUGCAGCGACGCCGCGUGGGGGAUGACGGCCUUCGGGUUGUAAACUCCUUUCGCUAGGGACGAAGCGCAAGUGACGGUACCUGGAGAAGAAGCACCGGCUAACUACGUG